GAUGAACGCUGGCGGUAUGCCUAACACAUGCAAGUCGUACGAGAGUUUUUAACUCUAGUGGCGGACGGGUGAGUAACACGUGAGAAUUUGCCUUUAGGAGGGGGAUAACAAUUGGAAACGAAUGCUAAUACCCCAUAUGCUUUUGAGUGAAAUGGAUUUUAUCCGCCUAGAGAGAAGCUCGCGGCUGAUUAGCUUGUUGGUAAGGUAAGAGCUUACCAAGGCGACGAUCAGUAUCUGGUUUGAGAGGACGAUCAGACACACUGGAACUGAGACACGGUCCAGACUCCUACGGGAGGCAGCAGUGGGGAAUUUUCCGCAAUGGGCGAAAGCCUGACGGAGCAAUACCGCGUGAGGGAAGAAUGCCUAUGGGUUGUAAACCUCUUUUUUCCAGGGAGGAAUAAAAUGAACGCGUACCUGAAGAUAAGCAUCGGCUAACUCCGUG
This 442-nucleotide ribosomal RNA is filed under the name uncultured bacterium. Its description in RNAcentral is "bacterial SSU rRNA". It matches the Rfam family "Bacterial small subunit ribosomal RNA", at positions 28 to 507 of the family's 1533-position model. The record is from RNAcentral.